GCAAAACGCGAAGAACCUUACCAGGUCUUGACAUCCUAGAAACUUUCCAGAGAUGGAUUGGUGCCUUCGGGAAUCUAGAGACAGGUGCUGCAUGGCUGUCGUCAGCUCGUGUCGUGAGAUGUUGGGUUAAGUCCCGCAACGAGCGCAACCCUUGCCAAUAAUUGCCAUCAUUCAGUUGGGCACUUUAUUGGGACUGCCGGUGACAAACCGGAGGAAGGUGGGGAUGACGUCAAGUCCUCAUGGCCCUUAUGGCCAGGGCUUCACACGUAAUACAAUGGCUGGUACAAAGGGUUGCCAACCCGCGAGGGGGAGCUAAUCCCAUAAAGCCAGUCGUAGUCCGGAUCGCAGUCUGCAACUCGACUGCGUGAAGUCGGAAUCGCUAGUAAUCGUGGAUCAGAAUGUCACGGUGAAUACGUUCCCGGGUCUUGUACACACCG
This 437-nucleotide ribosomal RNA is filed under the name uncultured bacterium. RNAcentral describes it as "bacterial SSU rRNA". It matches the Rfam family "Bacterial small subunit ribosomal RNA", at positions 954 to 1392 of the family's 1533-position model. The record is from RNAcentral.